RNAcentral lists this ribosomal RNA (2200 nucleotides) under Lepocinclis acus. Its description in RNAcentral is "SSU rRNA". It matches the Rfam family "Eukaryotic small subunit ribosomal RNA". The record is from RNAcentral. Lineage: Eukaryota; Euglenozoa; Euglenophyceae; Euglenales; Phacaceae.
UUCAAGGACUAAGCCAUGCAUGUCUCAGCGUACACGGCUUCCCACAGUGGGUCUGUGAAUGGCUCCUUACAUCAGCAGUCAUCUCCGUGAUAGAGUGUGGAUGGCACCAUCCCUGCCAGGUGCCCGCUUGGACAUCCUCCAAAACCUAGUGGCUAAUACACGGUUGCCCCGGUCUGCUACAACACAGUCUUGUCAGCCUCCAAUCUGCCUUGACUGGCAGUGGAUUGCGCCCAGCCGCCUUGAAGACCAGCGCCUGGAAAUGGCAGCGUGUUGUUGUUGACUCAGGCUGGUCCCCCGUGGACGUCCGCGCUGGCAGAGUGGUGGCCUCCUGGUCACAGCAUUGCUUGAUCACACGAGCUUCUGACCUAUCAGCCUUGAUGGUGGUGUAUUGGACCACCAUGGCAGUGACGGGUAACGGAGAAUCAGGGUUUGAUUCCGGAGAGGGAGCCUGAGAAACGGCUACCACUUCUAAGGAGGGCAGCAGGCACGCAAAUUGCCCAAUGCUUACACACUCCUGGUGAGGCAGCGACGAACCGCAGCAAUUCCGCUUGUCCUCUGUGACCAGUGGAACUUGGAAUGGAUGCAAUCCAAACACAGUGAUGAGUAUCAACUGGAGGGCAAGUCUGGUGCCAGCAGCUGCGGUAAUUCCAGCUCCAAGCGCGUAUACUAACAUUGCUGCUGUUAAAACACUUGUAGUCUGAUGCUGGGUUGCAGGUCUGCUGGGUGGCACUGGGUGGGCGUGGCGCUCGUUGCCUGUUCGCAGGUGGUGGGUCUGCGUCUGCUCGGUGGUACAACCCCCAGUGGUAUGUUCCUGCACCCGUCUUCCAUGAUGGUGCGAACAGCCCCUGCUCCAAGCCACCUUCAGUGGUGNNCGCUGCGGUUGCAUACCCAACGCUUGUGUGUUGACACCCUGGAGGCACGGCCUUGCNNNNUUCGCCUCCAAGUCCACCACCGGGGUCCACCAUCCCUGUCACCGUGGAAAACUCAGUGUGCUCAAGGCGUCCACUCAUGGCUGGAUGCCCGUCCAUGGAAUGUCGCAGUAUCGACCUGAUGUGGCUGUGGAGUUGUGCUGGCCUUGGUGCUCAUCCAAGGGGAACAUGGUGCUGUCCCCGGCCACGCAGGGCUCUGCCUCGCGGGUGCGUGCUCCCUGUGUGGUCUGGAGGGCAGUAUCAAUCGUCCGCGAUGGGACUGCUCAGGGUGAAAGAUAUUGCAACUGGAGAGGUGAAAUUCUUAGACCGCUGCAAGAUCAACUGCGGCAAAGGCGUUCUGCAAGUGCAUGUCCGUCGAUCAAGAAUGUGAGUGUGGGGAGCAAAGAUGAUCAGACACCGUUGUAGUCCACAACUGUAAACCAUGCCAGCUCGGUGUUGAUGGUGCAAGCGAUCUCAGACACCACCAGCGCCAUGCCCCCUGCAACGGGAAACCCAAGCCUAUGGGUUCAGGGGGGAGUACUGUCGCAAGGCUGAAACUUAAAGGAAUUGACGGAAUGGCACCACAAGGCGUGGAGUAUGCGGCUUAAUUUGACUCAACACGGGGAAUGUUACCAGGUCAGGACGUUGCUGGGAUGGACAGAUUGAGAGCUCUUUCUUGAUCCUUCGGAUGGUGGUGCAUGGCCGCUCCUGAUUGGUGGAGUGAUUUGUCUGGUUGAUUCCGAUAACGAGUGAGACAUCUGCCUCCCAGUAGGCCCCGGUCUCGCACUUGUAGGGUGUCGCCGUGUGGGAAGAGGCGGUUCGCCGUCCUUGGUACCCUCGGCGGUCACCUGAGAGGCCAGUGGUAUAGCUUCUCUGAGGUGCUGUGUACGCCACCAAGUGCACGCAUGCUAGAGCCAACAGCAGGUCUGUGAUGCUCCCAGAUGUCCUGGGCCGCACGCGCACUACAUUGGUCCAGUGAAUGUGUCCUGCACUCCCUCUGUGGAGGCCUGCCUGGAAGUGGGUGGGAAACCCCUGGAGCCUGUCUGACCGUACUGGGGAUAGAUGAUUGCAACUGUCUGCCUUGAACGAGGAAUGCCUAGUAAGCGUGGGUCAUCAGCCCACACUGAUUGUGUCCCUGCCAUUUGUACACACCGCCCGUCGUUGCUACCGAUGGUGGCAGGAUAGAGCCAUCAGGAGGCGCUGCACUCUCUCCAGAGUCAGGCUAAAAUUGGGCAAUGUCCUGCCACUAGAGGAAGCAAAAGUCGUAACAAGGUUGUUGUAGGUGAACCUGC